Molecule: ribosomal RNA, 497 nt
Filed under: uncultured bacterium
Lineage: Bacteria
Description: partial 16S ribosomal RNA
Rfam family: Bacterial small subunit ribosomal RNA
Source: RNAcentral
GAUGAACGCUGGCGGCGUGCCUAAUACAUGCAAGUCGAGCGAACGGACGAGAAGCUUGCUUCUCUGAUGUUAGCGGCGGACGGGGGAGUAACACGUGGAUAACCUACCUAUAAGACUGGGAUAACUUCGGGAAACCGGUGCUAAUACCGGAUAAUAUUUUGAACCGUAUGGUUCAAAUGUGAAAGACGGUCUUGCUGUCACUGAUAGAUGGAUCCGCGCUGCAUUAGCUAGUUGGUAAGGUAACGGCUUACCAAGGCAACGAUGCAUAGCCGAACUGAGAGGGUGAUCGGCCACCCUGGAACUGAGACACGGUCCAGACUCCUACGGGAGGCAGCAGUAGGGAAUCUUCCGCAAUGGGCGAGAGCCUGACGGAGCAACGCCGCGUGAGUGAUGCAGGUCUUCGGAUCGUAAAACUCUGUUAUUAGGGAAGAACAGAUGUGUAAGUAACUGUGCACAUCUUGACGGUACCUAAUCAGAAAGCCACGGCUAACUACGUG